CAGUCGCCGCGGGAAUACGAAGGGGGCUAGCGUUGCUCGGAAUUACUGGGCGUAAAGGGCGCGUAGGCGGACAGUUCAGUCGGGGGUGAAAGCCCGGGGCUCAACCUCGGAAUUGCCUUCGAUACUGGCUGUCUUGAGUAUGAGAGAGGUGUGUGGAACUCCGAGUGUAGAGGUGAAAUUCGUAGAUAUUCGGAAGAACACCAGUGGCGAAGGCGACACACUGGCUCAUUACUGACGCUGAGGCGCGAAAGCGUGGGGAGCAAACAGGAUUAGAUACCCGCGUAGUCCCUGUCUCUUAUAC
RNAcentral lists this ribosomal RNA (301 nucleotides) under uncultured bacterium. RNAcentral's name for it is "partial 16S ribosomal RNA". It matches the Rfam family "Bacterial small subunit ribosomal RNA", at positions 509 to 807 of the family's 1533-position model. The record is from RNAcentral.